AGUGAACGCUGGCGGUAGGCCUAACACAUGCAAGUCGAACGGCAGCACAGUAAGAUCUUGCUCUUACGGGUGGCGAGUGGCGGACGGGUGAGGAAUACAUCGGAAUCUACUUUUUCGUGGGGGAUAACGUAGGGAAACUUACGCUAAUACCGCAUACGACCUACGGGUGAAAGCAGGGGAUCUUCGCACCUUUCGCGAGUGAAUGAGCCGAUGUCGCAUUAGCUAGUUGGCGGGGUAAAGGCCCACCAAGGCGACGAUCCGUAGCUGGUCUGAGAGGAUGAUAGGCCACACUGGAACUGAGACACGGUCCAGACUCCUACGGGAGGCAGCAGUGGGGAAUAUUGGGCAAUGGGCGCAAGCCUGAUCCAGCCAUACCGAGUGGGUGAAGAAGGCCUUCGGGUUGUAAAGCCCUUUUGUUGGGAAAGAAAAGCAGCCGGUUAAUACCCCGCUGUUCUGACGGUACCCAAAGAAUAAGCACCGGCUAACUACGUG
Molecule: ribosomal RNA, 492 nt
Filed under: uncultured bacterium
Lineage: Bacteria
Description: partial 16S ribosomal RNA
Rfam family: Bacterial small subunit ribosomal RNA
Source: RNAcentral